GGGGGCCCGCAAGCGGUGGAGCAUGUGGUUCAAUUCGACGCAACGCGAAGAACCUUACCUAGGCUCGAAAUGCUUUGGACCAUCCCUGGAAACAGGGACUUUUCGCAAGAAACUGAAGUAUAGGUGCUGCAUGGCUGUCGUCAGCUCGUGUCGUGAGAUGUUGGGUUAAGUCCCGCAACGAGCGCAACCCUUGUCCUGUGUUGCUAUCAUUCAGUUGAGAACUCGCAGGAGACCGCCAGGGAUAACCUGGAGGAAGGUGGGGAUGACGUCAAGUCCUCAUGGCCUUUAUGUCUAGGGCUACACACGUGCUACAAUGGACGGUACAGAGGGUCGCCAACCCGCAAGGGGGAGCCAAUCCCAAAAAACCGCUCUCAGUUCGGAUUGCAGGCUGCAACCCGCCUGCAUGAAGCUGGAAUCGCUAGUAAUGGCGCAUCAGAAUGGCGCCGUGAAUACGUUCCCGGGCCUUGUACACACC
Molecule: ribosomal RNA, 475 nt
Filed under: uncultured bacterium
Lineage: Bacteria
Description: bacterial SSU rRNA
Rfam family: Bacterial small subunit ribosomal RNA
Source: RNAcentral